GGCAUGCGGCCGCUUAACAUGCAGUCGAGCGGUAAGGCCCUUCGGGGUACACGAGCGGCGAACGGGUGAGUAACACGUGGGUGAUCUGCCUUGCACUUCGGGAUAAGCCUGGGAAACUGGGUCUAAUACCGGAUAUGACCCCGGAAUGCAUGUUCUGGGGUGGAAAGAUUUAUCGGUGCGAGAUGGGCCCGCGGCCUAUCAGCUUGUUGGUGAGGUAACGGCUCACCAAGGCGACGACGGGUAGCCGACCUGAGAGGGUGACCGGCCACACUGGGACUGAGACACGGCCCAGACUCCUACGGGAGGCAGCAGUGGGGAAUAUUGCACAAUGGGCGCAAGCCUGAUGCAGCGACGCCGCGUGCGGGAUGACGGCCUUCGGGUUGUAAACCGCUUUUGACAGGGACGAAGCGCAAGUGACUGUACCUGUAGAAUAAGGACCGGCCAACUACGUGCCAGCAGCCGCGGUAAUACGUAGGGUCCGAGCGUUGUCCGGAAUUACUGGGCGUAAAGAGCUUGUAGGCGGUUCGUCGCGUCGUUUGUGAAAACUUGGGGCUCAACCUUAAGCUUGCAGGCGAUACGGGCGGACUAGAGUACUUCAGGGGAGACUGGAAUUCCUGGUGUAGCGGUGAAAUGCGCAGAUAUCAGGAGGAACACCGGUGGCGAAGGCGGGUCUCUGGGAAGUAACUGACGCUGAGAAGCGAAAGCAUGGGUAGCAAACAGGAUUAGAUACCCUGGUAGUCCAUGCCGUAAACGGUGGGUACUAGGUGUGGGGCUCCUUCCACGGACUCCGUGCCGUAGCUAACGCAUUAAGUACCCCGCCUGGGGAGUACGGCCGCAAGGCUAAAACUCAAAGAAAUUGACGGGGGCCCGCACAAGCGGCGGAGCAUGUGGAUUAAUUCGAUGCAACGCGAAGAACCUUACCUGGGUUUGACAUACACCGGAAACCUGCAGAGAUGUAGGCCCCCUUGUGGUCGGUGUACAGGUGGUGCAUGGCUGUCGUCAGCUCGUGUCGUGAGAUGUUGGGUUAAGUCCCGCAACGAGCGCAACCCUUAUCUAUGUGCCAGCGCGUAAUGGCGGGGACUCGUGAGAGACUGCCGGGGUCAACUCGAGAGUGGGGACGACGUCAAGUCAUCAUGCCCUUAUGUUCAGGCUUCCACCAUGCUACAAUGGCCGGUACAGAUGU
RNAcentral lists this ribosomal RNA (1183 nucleotides) under Nocardia fluminea. Its description in RNAcentral is "bacterial SSU rRNA". It matches the Rfam family "Bacterial small subunit ribosomal RNA", at positions 34 to 1246 of the family's 1533-position model. The record is from RNAcentral. Lineage: Bacteria; Bacillati; Actinomycetota; Actinomycetes; Mycobacteriales; Nocardiaceae.